GGCCCCAUCGUCUAUCGGCUAGGACGACGCCCUUUCACGGCGUAAGGCAGAGUUCGACUCUCUGUGGGGUCA
RNAcentral lists this transfer RNA (72 nucleotides) under Candidatus Woesebacteria bacterium. RNAcentral describes it as "tRNA-Glu". It matches the Rfam family "tRNA". From Rfam's summary of the family: Transfer RNA (tRNA) molecules are approximately 80 nucleotides in length. Their secondary structure includes four short double-helical elements and three loops (D, anti-codon, and T loops). Lineage: Bacteria; Candidatus Woeseibacteriota. The record is from RNAcentral.